Molecule: ribosomal RNA, 277 nt
Filed under: uncultured soil bacterium
Lineage: Bacteria
Description: partial 16S ribosomal RNA
Rfam family: Bacterial small subunit ribosomal RNA
Source: RNAcentral
AGAUUGAACGCUGGCGGCAGGCCUAACACAUGCAAGUCGAGCGGGGGUAGCGAAUACCCUAGCGGCGAACGGGUGAGGAAUGCUUGGGAAUCUGCCUCGUAGUGGGGGAUAACGUUCCGAAAGGAACGCUAAUACCGCAUACGUCCUACGGGAGAAAGGGGGGAUCUUCGGACCUCUCGCUAUGAGAUGAGCCCAAGCGGGAUUAGCUAGUUGGUGAGGUAAAGGCUCACCAAGGCAACGAUUCCCUAGCUGGUCUGAGAGGAUGAUCAGCCACACU